This 925-nucleotide unclassified non-coding RNA is filed under the name Dimorphilus gyrociliatus. RNAcentral's name for it is "hypothetical protein". The record is from RNAcentral. Lineage: Eukaryota; Metazoa; Annelida; Polychaeta; Dinophilidae.
AGAAAGGCCUUUCGUUUUAUUGAAAAAAUGUUCAAGACUUAAUAAGUUUUAUGAUAAACUAUGAAUAGAUUAUCACAAACAUUUGAUCUGAGGUUGGAAGAAGGACCAAGAAGAGGAAUACCCAAAGUUAAACCGAUAACCGAAAGAUCUAUCUUAAAAUCGUGCUUAUACAACUUACCUAUAGGGAGUCUACAAUUUAUCUUACCUGCCUUAAUAUUACUCAUUAUUGGAGCUGUUUUAUUUAUUAUUUCUUCAGAAGACGAAGACACAAAAGUUGGAUUAAUUUAUUUAAUUAUUGGUGGAAUAUUAACAUUAUUAAGCAUGGGAUGCUGCAUGACGAGUUAUUGUAAAUAUAGGAUAAAAGAAAGAAAGAAAAUUGAGUUGGAAGAGGCUGAUGGAGAUAAGUUUUAUGGCAAAUAUAGAAGACAUGCUAGUAAAGGGAUAACGAAUCCUGGUUUUGAUAGUACAAUUUGAAUCGAUUGUUUCAGCAUUUGUACGUUUAUUUUUCAUUGUUAAACAUUCCAGUUUAUAACUAUACAUUGCACGUUUAUCUCUGUACAAUGUAUAUUAUACUCGGUCUAUAAUCAAUAUUAUGUUAUUUUACAGGUGUUUUGUAGUGGCAUCUGGUGUACGGUCUCUAUUUUUCAAUCCCUUUUUCUUUUAAUUCUUACAUAACAUUAUGCUCAUGAAGAAAUAAGCUUUCUAUAUCUCAAGAUGGCGCUUUAAUAUUGAUCUUACUAUUUGCUAUGCAAGUUUGAUGCGCCACCUGGAGAAAAAAUUGAGACUUAGCAAUAUAUUGUGACAGUCAUUAUCAAAAAAUGAAAAACUUUAUGUUUAUUCAUAUUUGUUUGACGGACGUAAACUUGAUUAUUACAAACUAUAUUUUCUUUACCUAAUAAUAAAAUUAUAUACAAAAGUCACAUGA